This 408-nucleotide ribosomal RNA is filed under the name uncultured bacterium. Its description in RNAcentral is "partial 16S ribosomal RNA". It matches the Rfam family "Bacterial small subunit ribosomal RNA", at positions 28 to 526 of the family's 1533-position model. The record is from RNAcentral.
GACGAACGCUGGCGGCGUGCUUAACACAUGCAAGUCGAACGAAGUAGCGAACGGGUGAGUAACGCGUAAUCAAACUGCCCUGCAGAGGGGGACAACAGUUAGAAACGACUGCUAAUACCGCAUACUGAAGUAGGGGAUUGCGUAUGAUUUGCUAGUUGGAUGGGUAACGGCCCACAAGGGCGAUGAUAAGGAGCCGUUCUGAGAGGUGGAACGGCCACAUUGGGACUGAGACACGGCCCAGACUCCUACGGGAGGCAGCAGUGGGGAAUCUUCCGCAAUGGACGAAAGUCUGACGGAGCAACGCCGCGUGAGUGAUGACGGCCUUCGGGUUGUAAAGCUCUGUUAAUCGGGACGCGGUACCGGAAUAGAAAGCCACGGCUAACUACGUGCCAGCCGCCGCGGUAAUUC